RNAcentral lists this ribosomal RNA (253 nucleotides) under uncultured prokaryote. RNAcentral describes it as "partial 16S ribosomal RNA". It matches the Rfam family "Bacterial small subunit ribosomal RNA", at positions 547 to 777 of the family's 1533-position model. The record is from RNAcentral.
CCUCCUUCUUCCCGCUUUCUCCGGAUUCACUGGGUUUAAAGGGUGUGCAGGUGGGAUAAUAAGUCAGUGGUGAAAGCCCCCGACUCAAUCGGGGAACUGCCAUCGAUACUGUUAUUCUUGAGUGUAGUUGAGGCGGGCGGAAUAUGACAUGUAGCGGUGAAAUGCGUAGAUAUGUCAUAGAACACCGAUCGCGAAGGCAGCUCGCCUAACUAUUACUGACACUGAAACACGAAAGUGCGGGGAUCAAACAGGA